Long non-coding RNA from Mustela erminea (ermine), 1076 nucleotides. RefSeq lists it as uncharacterized. NCBI's taxonomy places the organism in Eukaryota, Metazoa, Chordata, Mammalia, Carnivora, Mustelidae. The transcript is spliced from 6 exons. The record is from RefSeq and is a predicted model, not a curated record.
UCUGCUGGCAGAAAGCGGAAAGUACCAGCUGGCCGAGAUGGGUGUGUCUAUUACCACAUCCGUCCGUUUUCUCUCAGGCUUAUCCACAGGGGACAGGGGAAACAUGUGACUCCCUUCAUACGUGGAAGACUCUGGCUCCAACUAUGGCCAAAGCUGAUGUAGAGGAAUAUGCAAAUAGUCAAGAACAUAUGAACACAGUCAGGAAAUGGGAACACUUCUAAGGUCCUUUUAUUCAAUCAUUUCUUGAGCUGGCUAGAUGCAAAGCCCAGCGAUGAUGCCGGGGCUAUGAGACACAGGAAAAGAAGAGAUUUGCCUUAUAUCUGAGUCCUUACCCUGUCUCUCAUUAUAGGACAUGCCCUUCCUGGGGUAGGCAUGUCCUAAUUUGGAGAAUGAAUUAUUGAACCAAAACUGACUGCAACAAUGCUGAUUUGAAAUAAUUAUGAAGGUACACUUAAUUAUCACAUUUAAAAACACAGAAAAAAAUUUAAAAAGAACAAUUUUCAACAAACUCUAUGUAUUCUAGUGAUUGAACAAGAAAUUAUAGAGUUUUAAGGAGAGCAAUCAAAGAAAAAAGAAAUACUAAGCUUGGGGAGACAUUUUAGACAGAACAAAGUGAUAUGAUGCUUCUUGUUAAUUUGCUCAAAAAAUGACAGCCAGUAGCUUUCCUUCAUUAUAUCAAUAGUGAAGCAUACCAGGAAUGAUCUUAGACUUCCCCUGGACGCCAUGAGACUUAAGCCAAGAAGAUCUCAAAAGCCUUUACAAGACAAACUGGGAAGAGGAAAAGUAUUAGAUAUUGCGGGCUAUUGGACAUCCUAAUUCCUGGAUAACUUCAGACUCGGAUUCUCUGCGAAACGCCUCUCAUUUGUGCCCUGUACACAGCAGAUGCUCCAUCCGUGGGCAUUUUGGUAGUAGGUGGAUAAUUUCCUGGAAACAAAGCAAGUUCUUCAUGUUCUUGAGAGGCUUUUGCAUGUGCCAUUUCAUCCACCUGACAUAUCCCUCCUUCCCAAUGGAACGAUCACCCUCCUUCAAGGCCCAGUUCAAAUACUAUAUUCCUCCAUGAAGUCUUGUAGUGUCUA